RNAcentral lists this ribosomal RNA (253 nucleotides) under uncultured bacterium. Its description in RNAcentral is "partial 16S ribosomal RNA". It matches the Rfam family "Bacterial small subunit ribosomal RNA", at positions 524 to 776 of the family's 1533-position model. The record is from RNAcentral.
UACGUAGGGGGCAAGCGUUGUCCGGAAUCAUUGGGCGUAAAGCGCGUGUAGGCGGCUCAUAAAGUCUGGUGUGAAAUCUUGCGGCUCAACCGUAAGCUGUCACUGGAUACUGAUGAGCUUGAAUCCGGAAGAGGAGUGUGGAAUUCCUGGUGUAGCGGUGGAAUGCGCAGAUAUCAGGAGGAACACCUAUGGCGAAGGCAGCACUCUGGUACGUGAUUGACGCUGAGACGCGAAAGCGUGGGGAGCGAACAGG